AUAUCUUUGAAAGGAGCGCAGCCACAGUUCCUCCCGUGAUGUAUACAUACAAAUAAAUAUUUACAAACAAAAGAAAGUGUUUGUGCAAAUGUGAGGUGCUGAGACAUUCGUAUAGAUAGAUGGUUUCAACACUACAGCUUCUCCUGCCAUCAGUUGACAAGCUAGCAGUUUGCAGCUCUGAAACCUGACCUGCGCUUGCUUAAGAUCCCCCUCAUAUGAGAGACAGGCAUCAGCAGGACAGAAGAGUGUUACUCUUCUGUUCAGCAAGCAGCUAGAGAGUACCUCGGAUCCCUCUGGUCAAAAGAAACCAGGUCUACAUGUUUUAAGUGCAGCAGACUCAGGGACUUCAUAUCCACUGACAACCACACCUGUUGUAAAAUUUUCCUCUGGUGAGACAAUUUGACAAUGUGGGCAGACUCAGGGACCUCGUGUCCACUGACAACCACAUGUCACUGCGUUAUUGCAUAAGUACCUCCUCAAACUUAUGUAGUACAAGUCUCAGUCGAGUAUUUCUGUAUACUGGAAAUGUCAUAUUUUAUAGAAAAUAGAUUCUCCCUUUAAAAUACGAUAUCUCCUAACCUGAUUACAGAAAUUAAGCAAGGAAUAAUAUUAUAUCGUAUGAACAGGCAUGUGAGCUCUGAGCUCAUUUAAAUGUUUUCUUUAACUCUAUUGACACAGCAAUUAUAGAUUUGUGGCAUAUAUCUCAAGUCAUGAAUAAUGUGAGGCUCACCACACAGUGGCAUAGUCAGUUUUCUUUAAAUUUCUUGCCACAGCAAUCACAGAUUUGUGGAGUGUAUUUUUCAAUUCAGUCAUAAUAUGAGGCUCACCACAUGCUGGCAAGUUAAUUUCCUUACGAUUAGUUUGGCCAAUAACAGUGGCAAAGUUUUGAUUGUGACCAUGAAUCAUUACAAAUGUGGCACCACACAAAAAAUAUUAUUUUAAUUUCAAGGCAUAAAUCCUAUGCCGUCGAACUCUAAUUACCUACUAUUUUUACAUUA
Long non-coding RNA from Schistocerca nitens (vagrant locust), 998 nucleotides. RefSeq lists it as uncharacterized. The record is from RefSeq and is a predicted model, not a curated record. The transcript has 3 exons. NCBI's taxonomy places the organism in Eukaryota, Metazoa, Arthropoda, Insecta, Orthoptera, Acrididae.